Molecule: ribosomal RNA, 497 nt
Filed under: uncultured bacterium
Lineage: Bacteria
Description: partial 16S ribosomal RNA
Rfam family: Bacterial small subunit ribosomal RNA
Source: RNAcentral
GAUGAACGCUGGCGGCGUGCCUAAUACAUGCAAGUCGAGCGAACGGACGAGAAGCUUGCUUCUCUGAUGUUAGCGGCGGACGGGUGAGUAACACGUGGAUAACCUACCUAUAAGACUGGGAUAACUUCGGGAAACCGUAGCUAAUACCGGAUAAUAUUUUGAACCGCAUGGUUCAAAAGUGAAAGGCGGUCUUGCUGUCACUUAUAGAUGGAUCCGCGCUGCAUUAGCUAGUUGGUAAGGUAACGGCUUAUCAAGGCAACGAUGCAUAGCCGACCUGAGAGGGUGAUCGGCCACACUGGAACUGAGACACGGUCCAGACUCCUACGGGAGGCAGCAGUAGGGAAUCUUCCGCAAUGGGCGAAAGCCUGACGGAGCAACGCCGCGUGAGUGAUGAAGGUCUUCGGAUCGUAAAACUCUGUUAUUAGGGAAGAACAUAUGUGUAAGUAACUGUGCACAUCUUGACGGUACCUAAUCAGAAAGCCACGGCUAACUACGUG